ACAAACUUGGUCAUUUAGAGGAAGUAAAAGUCGUAACAAGGUCUCCGUUGGUGAACCAGCGGAGGGAUCAUUACAGGAUCGUCGAAAGACGUCUCCAUAAACCAUUGUGAACUUACCUAUUUGUCGUGCUUCGGUAGGCAGGCGAGCAUUCGUGUUUAGCCUCCUAGGCCGGUUUAGGUGCCUACCGAAGUGCAAAACUUUUUCAAACUAUGAUAUCUUUGUGGAAUCUCUGAAAAAAAAUUAAACCAAUAACAACUUUCAACAAUGGAUCUCUUGGCUCUGGCAUCGAUGAAGAACGCAGC
RNAcentral lists this unclassified non-coding RNA (302 nucleotides) under uncultured fungus. RNAcentral describes it as "partial contains small subunit ribosomal RNA, internal transcribed spacer 1, and 5.8S ribosomal RNA". The stretch from base 1 to 73 matches the Rfam family "Eukaryotic small subunit ribosomal RNA", at positions 1759 to 1831 of the family's 1831-position model. The record is from RNAcentral. Lineage: Eukaryota; Fungi.